UUUUUUUUCAAAUCACAAAAAGACAUAAGCCAUGGUGUCGGUCAUUUCAGUCACCUGGAUUAUUUAAUUCUACACUUUGGGGACUGAGGGUCAGAUCACAAUGACUCAGACUCCAACCACAGUCUCAGUGUCUCCUGGGCAGGAUAUCAGUCUCCGGUGCAGCACAAGUCAGGACAUUAGCUUAAAAAUAGUCUGGUACCAACUCCAGGCUGGAUACAGUCCUAAACUGCUAAUAAAAACUGGGGAUGAGCGAUUUGAUGAACUUCCAACUUGAUUAAAUGACAGCUGAUCCAGAACUGUUUAUACCUUCAAAAUCACUCCAGGACUCCAGCUCUCAGGUCCUGAGAUACCUUCUGUGUGGAGUCUGGAUGUUCUCACUCCGAUCAAGCAGGAUUUGUCCUUGUCCUCCAGUUCUUCCCACCUUCCUGAGCCCUGAUUGCCAUAAUAAUCGAUCUCUGCAGGUUAUUGCCCCUGUCUGCUGGUAUCAAAGUGCACUGAUUAGACUCUGGACCAGGAAUAAGAGACUUUCUGAUGAUGGAUGGACUCAAAAGGAUGUGUGAUGCAAGAACACAACCACAUGCAUAUUGGUUGCAUAUUAUCAGGUAUGUCUGUUGUGGCGCUGGAGACAUCAGUCUGAGAUGUACUGUAAGUCUUAGUAAUAAUUAUUUCAAUACUGCACAUCAAUACAGCUUCUAGUCUAAUAGCAGAGAAAGAAAAUCAAGUCUGAACAAGAAAGAAG
Molecule: non-coding RNA, 739 nt
Organism: Lepisosteus oculatus (spotted gar)
Lineage: Eukaryota; Metazoa; Chordata; Actinopteri; Semionotiformes; Lepisosteidae
Source: RefSeq, a predicted model, not a curated record